RNAcentral lists this ribosomal RNA (1393 nucleotides) under uncultured bacterium. RNAcentral describes it as "bacterial SSU rRNA". It matches the Rfam family "Bacterial small subunit ribosomal RNA". The record is from RNAcentral.
AGAGUUUUAUCCUGGCUCAGGAUGAACGCUGGCGGCGUGCUUAACACAUGCAAGUCGAACGGAACUUAUACGAUAGAGGAUUCGUCCAAUUGACUAUAAGUUUAGUGGCGGACGGGUGAGUAACGCGUGAGGAACCUGCCUUGGAGUGGGGAAUAACACAGAGAAAUUUGUGCUAAUACCGCAUAAUGCAGUUGAGUCGCAUGGCUCUGACUGCCAAAGAUUUAUCGCUCUAAGAUGGCCUCGCGUCUGAUUAGAUAGUUGGUGAGGUAACGGCUCACCAAGUCGACGAUCAGUAGCCGGACUGAGAGGUUGGCCGGCCACAUUGGGACUGAGACACGGCCCAGACUCCUACGGGAGGCAGCAGUGGGGAAUAUUGGGCAAUGGGCGCAAGCCUGACCCAGCAACGCCGCGUGAAGGAAGAAGGCUUUCGGGUUGUAAACUUCUUUUAACAGGGACGAAUAAAUGACGGUACCUGUUGAAUAAGCCACGGCUAACUACGUGCCAGCAGCCGCGGUAAUACGUAGGUGGCAAGCGUUAUCCGGAUUUACUGGGUGUAAAGGGCGUGUAGGCGGGACUGCAAGUCAGAUGUGAAAACUCGGGGCUCAACCCCGAGCCUGCAUUUGAAACUGUAGUUCUUGAGUGUCGGAGAGGCAAUCGGAAUUCCGUGUGUAGCGGUGAAAUGCGUAGAUAUACGGAGGAACACCAGUGGCGAAGGCGGAUUGCUGGACGAUAACUGACGCUGAGGCGCGAAAGCGUGGGGAGCAAACAGGAUUAGAUACCCUGGUAGUCCACGCUGUAAACGAUGGAUACUAGGUGUGGGGGGACUGACCCCCUCCGUGCCGCAGUUAACACAAUAAGUAUCCCACCUGGGGAGUACGAUCGCAAGGUUGAAACUCAAAGGAAUUGACGGGGGCCCGCACAAGCGGCGGAGCAUGCGGAUUAAUUCGAUGCAACGCGAAGAACCUUACCAAGGCUUGACAUGAACCGGAAAGGCCUGGAAACAGGUCCCCCACUUGUGGCCGGUUUACAGGUGGUGCAUGGUUGUCGUCAGCUCGUGUCGUGAGAUGUUGGGUUAAGUCCCGCAACGAGCGCAACCCUCGUUCUAUGUUGCCAGCGCGUUAUGGCGGGGACUCAUAGGAGACUGCCGGGGUCAACUCGGAGGAAGGUGGGGACGACGUCAAAUCAUCAUGCCCCUUAUGUCUUGGGCUUCACGCAUGCUACAAUGGCCGGUACAAAGGGUUGCGAUACUGUGAGGUGGAGCUAAUCCCAAAAAGCCGGUCUCAGUUCGGAUUGAGGUCUGCAACUCGACCUCAUGAAGUUGGAGUCGCUAGUAAUCGCAGAUCAGCAACGCUGCGGUGAAUACGUUCCCGGGCCUUGCACUCACCGCCCGUCA